UGAGCAGAUCCACACGUACGUCGCAGCAAAAAUGUUAAAAGAAUGUUGGUUGUGUAGUCACUUUGAUCAGACACGUUUAAAAGGAUAUUGUAUAUAGUUGUAAUAGUAAGUAGUGCACUAUAUGGAGUGCUCAGGUGAGCCGAAUAAUGGUCGUUUAUAUGUAAGCGGACUAUGUCCACAUGUUGAAGCUGCUGCUACUAGUACGUUUGGAAGCGCUCAGCUAGUACAAUACUCAAAUCUUAUGGAAUGAAAUGGCUAUGUAGUGUGAUGCAUCGUUAUUUAGCCAAGUGAACUAGAUAAAUGUUCGUGUAAAUCUGAAGUGAUACUUGUCCACUUCAAUAUUAGAAUCAUCAAGCUCUAUAGGGGGAAACUUAUCACCUUGGGCUUGAGAGCAUCUCUAGCUCUAAAAACAUUAUACAGUUCCGAGCAGUUUUACGCCUCCUUUGGUUCUAAUUCAUAGGAAUACUAUAGUUCUAAUUCAUAGGAAUUCUAGAGGAGGAUUUGCAAAGAAAGUUUUUCUUUGAAGCCCUUUGGUUUAUAACAGGAGCCAAUCUUUUGAAGGAAUGGAUUUCUGUAAUGUUGAGACUCAGAUGGAAAAAUUCCUAUCCUACGCAUAAAAGGAAUUGAGAUGCAGAUCAUCUCACUUCUUACGAUUUUUUUUAUUCCUAUACUAUUUCUACCCUAUGAAACCAAAGGAGGUCAUCUCACUUCUUACGAUUUUCUUAUUCCUAUACCAUUUUCUAUACUAUAAAACCAAAGGAGGUCAUCUCACUUCGUAUGAUUUUCUUAUUCCUAUACCAUUUCUAUCCUAUAAAACCAAAGGAGGUAACAUGCUUCCUUUUACCUCCUCUUUUCACAUGAAGAUAAGAGUAUAUAUUAGAUCUGAGUCAUUUAUCUCAUUAAUUAGUGGUCUCCUUCUUACCUUCUCUUUUUAUACGAAGAUAAUUAAUAAAUCUGAGUCAUUUAUCUCAUUAAUUAGUGGCUUCUCAUUAAUUAGUGGUCUGAUUGCUUUUAUCUUCUUAACUCACAUGUAAGAAAAAGAUAAAAGGAGCAUGUUAAAAUUUGCCAUACAGUCCCCUAAACAAAUUUGCGGGAAGGAAUACUAGAGUCUGAUAUUUUUAUUGUUUUGUAGACUAUAAUUCUAUUCUGCUGUUAUUGGAGUCAUCCAAAGUGAAAAUUUUGAAGCACCUACGAAGACAUCAAUAUGCUGAAGAAUCACCCUUUUGUUAGAUUUGAGGAUCCUCGCGCCCGUCAACCGUGGAGGAGCCGGCCAUAGAGGUGAUUGCCACGGAGGAGCAGAAGCCGCGGGUGGGCGGCGGUGCAGGUUGGCCUUCAUCGCGCGCUGGGCGCAUCUGGGGCUGCUUCCUGCCGCAGGCGAUGAGGGAAGGAGGAACUAAGCCCACGACAAGCUUUUUUGGAUGGAGGGAGUAUUUGUGUUAAGUGUUACUCGCGAUGGGCGACCCCAGCGCUGCGCCCCUCCACCAGGCCCCCACAGGUGGCGGCCACCCUUCCGGCGCCUCCCGGUGACCAAAGCCAUGGCGAACGCGAACAAAAUGGAGUCCACGCGGGAGCGGAAGCUUGCGCUUCACCGGAACAUAGGUCAAUUAUAUCUUAAUUUUCGUUGAGGAUGGUUCUCUACACUGACGUGAUGUGACCGUGUGAAGUUCGUACCUGAAACCUCUGGAGCAUUGACUUUUUGUUUGUAGGAUUCUGAAACCGUGUUAUGCUAUGAGCAGACGGUGGCACUUCUAACAGAGAGGGCUAAUCAGAGUUUAGGGGGCAAAGGAGAUAAAUUAUCCAUAAACUCCGAGAAAUCUUUGAUAUUCAAGUGUAAUAAUUAAGGGUACACUUAAGAAUUUUUCUAGAGUAGGGGGACAAUGGCCCCCUUUGACCCCAUGAAGCUCCGCUACGGAUGCAGACUACGGGAAAACGAAUGGAUUAAGAUGAAGACGGUCAGUUCAAUUAGCGAGCAUGUGAAGGCUUGUGACACCUUCCAGCUAACACUUCAAUUUCUACCCGGUGAUGCAGCUAGAAGGACAGCCGCCUGUCUGAUGGAGCGGUUCUUGUUGCCUGUGUGGCGAAUCUGGAGAGCGUUGCUCCGGAAGCUCGCCUCGGUUGACCUCGUGGGGCUCUCCCAUCAGCAAAAGCUAGCCUUAUGGAUCAAUAUCUACUAAAUGACCCGUUGUGCCUAUGAAGCAAAAAGCGAGAGCAAGCCGAGCAUUCAAACAAUGCAAGUGAGAUUCAAUUAGAACCAAUUUAAUAGAUACUUAGGUACACAUAGCCCUAUAUAUUCCAUUGCAUGGUAGCAUGAUGCCUCAAAAGAAAGUUAUGACAUCACUUGAUGAUAACUUACAUUGGCUUUAUAAAGCAAGUUGUAUUAGCAGAGAUGCAUCACAUAUAUAGCACAAGCUUUGGCUUGAAUAGGACACGAAGGCGGUGGUAUUAGGUAGAGUCAUUAUUGCAUGUCCCAUCAAUAUCAAACAUGAUUUCAUCUAAGCAACUCUUACUGGCAGGUGUGUUUGGUGGGCUAUUGUAAGUGAAAGCAAAGAUGUCUUCCAUAUCGCCGAAUUCAUAUCUAAACCCGAGUGAUGCUUGAGACCAAAUGAAUAGAACUCAACUGUUGCUUCGAGGCCAAUCGUUCUGGCUUUGCAGGUUGAGUGAACUGCAUUUAGAAGUUGAAGCUGCUACAACAUAUCAUCCAGAAGCCUUUGUUGGGAUACUAACCUAAGCAUACAAAGAACAUGGAGUCAACUAAAAGAAAGUUUAAUAAAAACUAAAAUAAUAAAAAGCAGUAAAAGCUAAAAAAAUGGCAUAAAGCUAUUUCUAGAACAACACUUUUCACCACGACUAUUUUUUAGAACCUGUUCAUAGCAUAAAUUGCAUGGUUCAACAACUCAAGAAUGUCAAGCUAUUUUUUUGUAACCUUGUUCAUCAAUCACAUUUACGGAUCUUAGUAAAAAGGGAUGGAUACAAGGAGAUAUAAAAAAAAUCGACAAUAAGGCACACCCAUUUGGACAACAACGUGAGACAUAACAAUGUGAAAAGUAAAAAAGCAAGGACAAAUAUUCUGAUUUCAUCAGGUUGCGAGAACUAUCAUAAAUAAAUGCACUUCAUUACAUCAGAACCUUUCCCUGGAUGUGUCUUCAUCUUACGAACAUGUGAAAUAAUAAGAUCUAUGCAGACUACAUAUAUACACAAAAUAAAAGGAGAUAUAAGAAAAUCAUUCGAGGUUGAAGUAAAAUUCUGAAACUCUGGAUAUGUCAUGGACAAUUCGGCCUCAUGACAGUUAUUGCUAAUUUAUUUGUGAAUUUGUCAACCAACACAUACUCCAUACCCUAGGCCUAGGGUAAACGUCCGAAACUGUGGACAUUCAAGGUUGACCAUGUGCAAGAUAAAAAAAAUACUGCUAACAUACACAAAAGAAAAUGAGAUAUGCAGUUCGACAAUGCAAAUGGUUUAAAAUGAAGUAUUCAUACCCUGGGCCUUCAACCAUGGUGCCUAAAUCUUUUUUCUGCAAAGCAAAUGCAUCGGUACUGCAACGUGAAAAAAAUUAUCCUCCGGCUCAUUCAGAUAUGAGAGCAACUGGAUCUGCUCUGAAGGCUGAAACUGUAGAGAAUUUAGCUCACCUCAGAAGCAACCAAGCGAACCAUCCACAUCUCAGAAUUGUAACGACAUGAGAAUUCGGCACCUGCCGACACUAUGCAUGCGAAUAUUUGCAUCAGUAAAUAUUGCUUUGUGACACACUUGGAUAUCCAAUAGCUCCAAAGUGCACACAGAAUUAUAAUUGUAGACUGUAGGCUAUCCAUUGACAAGUUUUUUAUUGUUGCAUGGCAUUGCGAAAAUGAGGAGCAUUGUAAUGUCAAUGCGUUGGUACAGAAAAGAUUACUACAACAAUAAAAAGAAAAUUAUAACAUAAUGUUAACAAACUGAACAAAUUGCUUAUGCACAACAUCAAAUUGUUCAAGAGUCCAAUUAGAACAGAGAGUUAUGUAGUUAUAACCAAGUGAACUGAUUACAUUAUCGAGUAGCCUACAAAUAUAUAUAUGGUCAUACGCAGACAUACAAUUAUUAGUUAUAAAAGUUCAGAUCCACUACAUGGAGUAUGAUUCAGCCACACAUCAUAAGUGGGUGAGAUGAUUCAUUAUAUUUAGGAUAAAACAUAAAAGAAAUAUAAAGCCAAAGGCCCGCUACAUGAGCUUUAUGUAGGCGAUAACACAGGCUCAUGAUGAUGCCCUUAGAGGCAACGAACAGGAAAAGUGAGGCGGUGUUGUACUGACAGCACAACCCUCUAGGCCUCUACCUCAUAAUUAUUAACCUUGUACAUAGGUGAUAACAACGACCAGAAGACAACUUUAGUUAGCGCAGGAGCAAAGGUACGAGGCAACAAAGAUCCCAUUUCAAACUUAUUUGAAAAUAAAUGCUUAGUAAUUUGGCAAUACUCAGAACCCUUUUAACAACCGAAAUUUAGGCAAACAUCUCUUUCAAAAUAUAUAAGAGUUUUCAAAAUGCGGCCAUAAGUUCUAUUUGUACAAUUUGUUGUAUUAGAUGAUUUGUUGCGUCUAAUACGUAAAAUACAUAGAAAGCUACAGAAUGUAAAACAUGACAAACAAUCCUCCAUUGCAUCAAUUAAAACAUGCAGCAACUGAUAAAAGCUGAUGAUUGAAUUUUUGUGUUAUCUUUGUAACAGAUAAAAGAAACACUCUAGGCACAUAUUGACCAUAGCACUUUGGGUCAAAAUUAAAUUCAGAUAAGUAUAUAAAAUCAGCAAUGCUAGAUAACUGAAAGGAAAAAUGUCUUGGCAAAGUCGAUCAAUACCAUAAAGCAAAUGAAGUAUGGUUUUGAGUCAGCAAAAUCAAUCAACAAAAGCCGUGAAACUUGUGGUCAUCGAGAGAAGAGCAUUAUCCUUCUCCCUAUCAUCACGCUUGAUUCUUCUGCCACAAGAUAGAAAUAGACUACUUUCUCAAGCUUCAUAGAUGAAUCCUGAUAGAAACAAACUACUUGAGAAUCACAGUUGUGCAAAAUUGCAAAUGACUAAGAAAAGAUUAUAUAUUAAUAUUCUGAAUCAGUGUGUCACUAAACAUAUAUAUGUGUCAAUUAAUUGAAGAAACAAAAGAUAAAUGGUUACACUGCUGAUCAGAUUGUUACCCCAUCAUAUAGGAAUGGCUUAUUUCUUGCAUUUUCCCAAGCAAAGGUACGGUUUAUCAGGUUGCCCACCAUAGCUGGGAAAGAUAUGGGUCUUGCGACUGAAAUACACGAAUAGUUCUCCAGCCUUUUCUGCCCUUUUAAGGUUUACGUGAGCAUCCCUUCCAGAACUAUACCUCUUUGAGUCCUGCAAAAUAGCUUUGGUGUCAUUUUUCAUACUUAGGGAACCAUAUAAUUUUCUAUAAAAAUGCAUGCAGGCAGGUUAGUCAGUGUAACAAGUGCAUAUGCUAUGCUCAGUAUUUGAUCAUUGUAAGCCCAAAGCAAAUAGCCUAAAACUACAUGGUUAUAUUCUUCAAGCCAAGCCUCUUCAUCACAAGCACCAAUCCAUUUAUUUAACCUGUCCAUAAUAUCUUUUCGACUUAGUGACUCUUCUUCUGCUUUCAAUAUUUGUGACUCGAUAUUCAUGAGGAGCCCACAAGGGUAAAUAGUGCCUGAAUGGUGCAUAGGCAAGAGUCACAAUGUGUAAGAAAACAACCACUGGUGAAGAUAGUUACUUGAGCAAGAUGCAUAAAGUAUAACCAGAAUCAAUCAGAGUGUUGGUUUGCUCAGGGGGCUAUGCUGAGAUCAAGUUCUAUGUGUGCAUUCUCGCAUAAAUGUUCUAAUUCGGUCCUUCUCUUUGUGACAAGUUCUUCCAUUCUGUUCGUUUUAACUUCUGUUAACCUCUCAACCGCAGCUUCCAUCUGCAUAAGAAAUCAGCACUGAAGUUGUAAAAAAUGAUUAAGGUAAGCAACAAAAAAGGUAUUAAAGAAAAACCAAAGGCGAUCUGGAAAACCUUCCUGAUUGUUUCCUAGGAAAGAACACCAACGGGCGUGGUUCCCUCUUCUGGUGAUAUGAGAAUGCUGAUUACUUUGCUGAAUUGUCUCUUCUCCUCUUUAGAAGAGUCCAUUAACUUCCGGAGGUGACAUAAUGAUUCCAUUGUGUCUCUCAUCUAUAGGCAAACGAUUGCUUGAGAAUGCAUUAUGCAGAACUCAUAUAAAAAAGUUAGAUGAAAGGAACCUUGAGAGUACCUUAUCGAUUCUAGAUUUUCUCUGUGCUUUAAGAUUUGAUAUUGUGCUAGCAAGACCUUCCAGUGUGCCAUUGUUGAUGUUUCUGGACUGCUCAACACAAUUCUGAUGUAGACUGGGAUGAAUCCAUUUACAGUCUUGCGAAAUCAGGGACUCCACAUAAAGAAUGCACUUCAUUUACAUAUUUCAGAACUUUGUGAAGUAUAUCAGACUAAAAAUAUUGCAAACAAGGAAAUGAUACGUCUCCAACGUAUCUAUAAUAUUUGAUUGUUCCAUGCUAUUAUAUUAUCUGUUUUGGAUGUUUAUGGGCUUUAUUAUACACGUUUAUAUUAUUUUUGGGACUAACCUAUUAACCGGAGGCCUAGCCCAAAUUGCUGUUUUCUUGCCUAUUUCAGUGUUCCGAAGAAAAGGAAUAUCAAACGGAGUCCAAAAGGAAUGAAACCUUCGGGAGAGUUAUUUUUGGAACGGAAGCAAUCCAGGAGACUUGGAGUAGACGUCAGGGAAGCUUCGAGGUGGCCACGAGGCAGCGAGGCGCGCCCUGUUGGAAAUAUGCUCUAGAGGCAAUAAUAAAAUGGUUAUUAUUAUAUUUCCUUGUUCAUGAUAAUUGUCUAUUGUUCAUGCUAUAAUUGUGUUAUCCGGAAAUCGUAAUACAUGUGUGAAUACAUAGACCACAACGUGUCCCUAGUAAGCCUCUAGUUGACUAGCUCGUUGAUCAACAGAUAGUCAUGGUUUCCUGACUAUGGACAUUGGAUGUCAUUGAUAACGGGAUCACAUCAUUAGGAGAAUGAUGUGAUGGACAAGACCCAAUCCUAAGCAUAGCACAAAGAUCGUGUAGUUCGUUUGCUAGAGCUUUUCCAAUGUCAAGUAUCAUUUCCUUAGACCAUGAGAUCGUGUAACUCCCGGAUGCCGUAGGAGUGCUUUGGGUGUACUAAACGUCACAACGUAACUAGGUGACUAUAAAGGUACACUACAGGUAUCUCUGAAAGUGUCUGUUGGGUUGACACGGAUCGAGACUGGGAUUUGUCACUCCGUAUGACGGAGAGGUAUCUCUGGGCCCACUCGGUAAUGCAUCAUCAUAAUGAGCUCAAUGUGACCAAGUGUUUGGUCACGGGAUCAUGCAUUACGGUAUGAGUAAAGUGACUUGCCGGUAACGAGAUUGAACGAGGUAUUGGGAUACCGACGAUCGAAUCUCGGGCAAGUAAUGUACCGGUUGACAAAGGGAAUUGUAUACGGGAUUGAUUGAAUCCUCGACAUCGUGGUUCAUCCGAUGAGAUCAUCGAGGAACAUGUGGGAGCCAACAUGGGUAUCCAGAUCCCGCUGUUGGUUAUUGAACGGAGAGUCGUCUCGGUCAUGUCUGCAUGUCUCCCGAACCCGUAGGGUCUACACACUUAAGGUUCGGUGACGCUAGGGUUUUAGAGAUAUUAGUAUGCGGUAAUCCGAAAGUUGUUCGGAGUCCCGGAUGAGAUCCCGGACGUCACGAGGAGUUCCGGAAUGGUCCGGAGGUGAAGAAUUAUAUAUAGGAAGUCCAGUUUCGGCCACCGGGAAAGUUUCGGGGGUUACCGGUAUUGUACCGGGACCACCGGAAGGGUCCCGGGGGUCCACCGGGUGGGGCCACCUAUCCCGGAGGGCCCCAUGGGCUGAAAUGGGAGGGGAACCAGCCCCUGGUGGGCUGGUGCGCCCCCCUUGGGCCUCCCCCUGAUCUCCCAGGGCCGGCGCCCCCCAGGAGGCCUAUAUAUAGGAGGGGGGAGGGAGGGCAGCCACACCACAGCCCCUGGCGCCUCCCUCUCCCUCCCGUGACACAUCUCCCUCCUCCCGCAGCGCUCGGCGAAGCCCUGUCGGAAUCCCGCUACUUCCACCACCACGCCGUCGUGCAGCUGGAUCUCCAUCAACCUCUCCUCCCCCCUUGCUGGAUCAAGAAGGAGGAGACGUCGCUGCUCCGUACGUGUGUUGAACGCGGAGGUGCCGUCCGUUCGGUGCUCGGUCAUCGGUGAUUUGGAUCACGACGAGUACGACCCCAUCAACCACGUUCACUUGAACGCUUCCGCUCGCGAUCUACAAGGGUAUGUAGAUGCACUCCUCUCUCUCGUUGCUAGAUGACUCCAUAGAUUGAUCUUGGUGAUGCGUAGAAAAUUUUAAAUUUCUGCUACGAUCCCCAUUAGUGGUAUCAGAGCCAGGCCUAUGCGUAGUUUCUAUGCACGAGUAGAACACAAACUUGUUGUGGGCGUAGAUGUUGUCAAUUUUCUUGCCACUACUAGUCUUAUCUUGUUUCGGCGGCAUUGUGGGAUGAAGCGGUCCGGACCGACCUUACACGUACGCUUACGUGAGACAGGUUCCACCGACUGACAUGCACUAGUUGCAUAAGGUGGUUAGCGGGUGUCUGUCUCUCCCACUUUAGUCGGAACGGAUUCGAUGAAAAGGGUCCUUAUGAAGGGUAAAUAAAAAUUGGCAUAUCACGUUGUGGUUUUACGUAGGUAAGAAACGUUCUUGCUAGAAACCUAUAGAAGCCACGUAAAAACAUGCAACAAUAAUUAGAGGACGUCUAACUUGUUUUUGCAGCAUGUGCCUUGUGAUGUGAUAUGGCCAAAAGGAUGUGAUGAAUGAGAUAUAUGUGAUGUAUGAGAUUGAUCAUGUUCUUGUAAUAGGAAUCACGACUUGCAUGUCGAUGAGUAUGACAACCGGCAGGAGCCAUAGGAGUUGUCUUUAUUUUUUGUAUGACCUGCGUGUCAUUGAAUAACGCCAUGUAAAUUACAUUACUUUAUUGCUAAACACGUUAGCGAUAGAAGUAGAAGUAAUCGUUGGCGUGACAACUUCAUGAAGACACGAUGAUGGAGAUCAUGAUGAUGGAGAUCAUGGUGUCAUGCCGGUGACGAAGAUGAUCAUGGCGCCCCGAAGAUGGAGAUCAAAAGGAGCAAAAUGAUAUUGGCCAUAUCAUGUCACUAUUUGAUUGCAUGUGAUGUUUAUCAUGUUUUACAUCUUAUUUGCUUAGAACGACGGUAGCUUAAAUAAGAUGAUCCCUCGCAAUAAUUUCAAGAAAGUGUUCCCCCUAACUGUGCACCGUUGCGAAGGUUCGUUGUUUCGAAGCACCACGUGAUGAUCGGGUGUGAUAGAUUCUAACGUUCGAAUACAACGGGUGUAAGCCAGAUUUACACACGCAAUACACUUAGGUUGACUUGACGAGCCUAGCAUGUAUAGACAUGGCCUCGGAACACGGAAGACCGAAAGGUCGAGCAUGAGUCGUAUAGAAGAUACGAUCAACAUGAAGAUGUUCACCGAUGUUGACUAGUCCGUCUCACGUGAUAAUCGGACACGGCCUAGUUGACUCGGAUCAUGUUUCACUUAGAUGACUAGAGGGAUGUCUAUCUGAGUGGGAGUUCAUUGAAUAAUUUGAUUAGAUGAACUUAAUUAUCAUGAACUUAGUCUAAAAUCUUUACAAUAUGUCUUGUAGAUCAAAUGACCCACGUUGCCCUCAACUUCAACGCGUUCGUAGAGAAAACCAAGCUGAAAGAUGAUGGCAGCAACUAUACGGACUGGGUCCGGAACCUGAGGAUCAUCCUCAUAGCUGCCAAGAAACAUUAUGUCCUAGAAGCACCGCUAGGUGAAGCACCCAUCCCAGAGAACCAAGACGUUAUGAACGCUUGGCAGUCACGUGCUGAUGAUUACUCCCUCGUUCAGUGCGGCAUGCUUUACAGCUUAGAACCGGGGCUCCAAAAGCGUUUUGAGCAAAACAGAGCAUAUGAGAUGUUCGAAGAGCUGAAAAUGGUUUUCCAAGCUCAUGCCCGGGUCGAGAGAUAUGAAGUCUCCGACAAGUUCUUCAGUUGUAAGAUGGAGGAAAACAGUUCUGUCAGUGAGCACAUACUCAAAAUGUCUGGGUUGCACAACCGCUUGACUCAGCUGGGAGUUAAUCUCCCGGAUGACGCGGUCAUUGACAGAAUCCUUCAGUCGCUUCCACCAAGCUACAAGAGCUUUGUGAUGAACUUCAAUAUGCAGGGGAUGGAAAAGACCAUUCCUGAGGUAUAUUCAAUGCUGAAAUCAGCGGAGGUGGAGAUCAGAAAGGAACAUCAAGUGUUGAUGGUGAAUAAAACCACUAAGUUCAAGAAAGGCAAGGGUAAGAAGAACUUCAAGAAGGACGGCAAGAGAGUUGCCGCGCCCGGUAAGCCAGUUGCCGGGAAGAAACCAAAGAAUGGACCCAAGCCUGAGACUGAGUGCUUUUAUUGCAAGGGAAGUGGUCACUGGAAGCGGAACUGCCCCAAAUACUUAGCGGACAAGAAGGCCGGCAACACCAAAGGUAUAUGUGAUAUACAUGUAAUUGAUGUGUACCUUACCAGUACUCGUAGUAGCUCCUGGGUAUUUGAUACCGGUGCGGUUGCUCAUAUUUGUAACUCAAAACAGGAGCUGCGGAAUAAGCGGAGACUGGCGAAGGACGAGGUGACGAUGCGUGUCGGGAAUGGUUCCAAGGUCGAUGUGAUCGCCGUCGGCACGCUACCUCUACAUUUACCUACGGGAUUAGUUUUAAACCUCAAUAAUUGUUAUUUAGUGCCAGCUUUGAGCAUGCACAUUGUAUCAGGAUCUCGUUUAAUGCGAGAUGGCUACUCAUUUAAAUCCGAGAAUAAUGGUUGUUCUAUUUAUAUGAGAGAUAUGUUUUAUGGUCAUGCCCCGCUGGUCAAUGGUUUAUUCUUAAUGAAUCUCGAACGUGAUGUUACACAUAUUCAUAGUGUGAAUACCAAAAGAUGUAAAGUUGAUAACGAUAGUCCCACAUACUUGUGGCACUGCCGCCUUGGUCACAUUGGUGUCAAGCGCAUGAAGAAGCUCCAUGCAGAUGGACUUUUGGAGUCUCUUGAUGACGAAUCAUUUGACACGUGCGAACCAUGCCUCAUGGGCAAAAUGACCAAGACUCCGUUCUCCGGAACAAUUUAGCGAGCAACCAACUUAUUAGAAAUCAUACAUACUGAUGUGUGCGGUCCAAUGAGUGUUGAGGCUCGCGGAGGCUAUCGUUAUGUUCUCACUCUCACUGAUGACUUGAGUAGAUAUGGGUAUGUCUACCUAAUGAAACACAAGUCUGAGACCUUUGAAAAGUUCAAGGAAUUUUAGAGUGAGGAUGAGAAUCAACGUGACAGGAAAAUAAAGUUCCUACGAUCAGACCGUGGAGGGGAAUAUUUAAGUCACGAAUUUGGCACACACUUAAGGAAAUGUGGAAUAGUUUCACAACUCACGCCGCCUGGAACACCUCAGCGAAAUGGUGUGUCCGAACGUCGUAAUCGCACUCUAUUGGAUAUGGUGCGAUCUAUGAUGUCUCUUACCGAUCUACCGCUCUCAUUUUGGGGCUAUGCUUUAGAGACUGCCGCAUUCACUUUAAAUAGGGCUCCGUCGAAAUCCGUUGAGACGACACCGUAUGAAUUAUGGUUUGGGAAGAAACCUAAGCUGUUGUUUCUAAAAGUUUGGGGAUGCGAUGCUUAUGUCAAGAAACUUCAACCUGAAAAGCUCGAACCCAAGUCGGAAAAAUGCGUCUUCAUAGGAUACCCUAAGGAAACCAUUGGGUAUACCUUCUACCUCAGAUCCGAAGGCAAGAUCUUUGUUGCCAAGAACGGGUCCUUUCUGGAGAAAGAGUUUCUCUCAAAAGAAGUGAGUGGGAGGAAAGUGGAACUUGAUGAGGUGAUAGUCACCCCUUCCGAACCGGAAAGUAGCGCAGCGCGGGAAAAUGUUCCUGUGGUGCCUGCACCGACUGGGGAGGAAGUUAAUGAUGAUCAUGAAGCUUCAGAUCAAGUUACUGCUGAACUUCGUAGGUCCACAAGGACACGUUCCGCACCAGAGUGGUACAGCAACCCUGUCUUGGAAAUCAUGUUGUUAGACAACGGUGAACCUUCGAACUAUGAAGAAGCGAUGGCGGGCCCGGAUUCGAACAAAUGGCUUGAAGCCAUGCAAUCCGAGAUAGGAUCCAUGUAUGAAAACAAAGUAUGGACUUUGACUGACUUGCCCGAUGAUCGGCGAGCGAUAGAAAACAAAUGGAUCUUUAAGAAGAAGACAGACGCGGAUGGUAAUGUGACCAUCUAUAAGGCUCGACUUGUCGCUAAGGGUUAUCAACAAGUUCAAGGGGUUGACUACGAUGAGACUUUCUCACCCGUAGCGAAGCUGAAGUCCGUCCGAGUCAUGUUAGCAAUUGUCGCAUUCUAUGAUUAUGAGAUAUGGCAAAUGGACGUCAAAACGGCAUUCCUUACCGGCUUUCUUAAGGAAGAAUUGUAUAUGAUGCAGCCGGAAGGUUUUGUCGAUCCUAAGAAUGCUAACAAGGUAUGCAAGCUCCAGCGCUCCAUCUAUGGGUUGGUGCAAGCAUCUCGGAGUUGGAACAUUCGAUUUGAUGAGAUGAUCAAAGCAUUUGGGUUUACACAGACUUAUGGAGAAGCCUGUGUUUACAAGAAAGUGAGUGGGAGCUCUGUAGCAUUUCUCUUAUUAUAUGUGGAUGACAUACUAUUGAUGGGAAAUGAUGUAGAAUUCUUGGAAAGUAUAAAGGCCUAUUUGAAUAAGUGUUUUUCAAUGAAGGACCUUGGAGAAGCUGCUUAUAUAUUAGGCAUCAAGAUCUAUAGAGAUAGAUCAAGACGCCUCAUUGGUCUUUCACAGAGUACGUACCUUGACAAGAUAUUGAAGAAGUUCAAUAUGGAUCAGUCCAAGAAGGGGUUCUUGCCUGUAUUGCAAGGUGUGCAAUUGAGUACGGCUCAAUGCCCGACCACGGCAGAAGAUAGAGAAAAGAUGAGUGUCGUCCCCUAUGCCUCGGCCAUAGGGUCUAUUAUGUAUGCCAUGCUGUGUACCAGACCUGAUGUAAACCUUGCCGUAAGUUUGGUAGGAAGGUACCAAAGUAAUCCCGGCAUGGAACACUGGACAGCGGUCAAGAAUAUCCUAAGUACCUGAAGAGGACUAAGGAUAUGUUUCUCGUUUAUGGAGGUGACGAAGAGCUCGUCGUAAAGGGUUACGUCGAUGCUAGCUUCGACACAGAUCUGGAUGACUCUAAGUCACAAACCGGAUACGUGCAUAUUUUGAAUGGAGGGGCAGUAAGCUGGUGCAGUUGCAAGCAAAGCGUCGUGGCGGGAUCUACAUGUGAAGCGGAGUACAUGGCGGCCUCAGAGGUAGCGCAAGAAGCAAUCAGGAUGAAGGAGUUCAUUACCGACCUAGGGGUGAUUCCCAAUGCGUCGGGCCCGAUGACUCUCUUCUGUGACAACACUGGAGCUAUUGCCCUUGCCAAGGAGCCCAGGUUUCACAAGAAGACCAGGCAUAUCAAGCGUCGCUUCAACUCCAUUCGUGAAAGUGUUCAAAAUGGAGACAUAGAUAUUUGUAAAGUACAUACGGACCUAAAUGUAGCAGAUCCGUUGACUAAACCUCUCCCUAGAGCAAAACAUGAUCAACACCAGAACUCUAUGGGUGUUCGAUCCAUCACAAUGUAACUAGAUUAUUGACUCUAGUGCAAGUGGGAGACUGUUGGAAAUAUGCCCUAGAGGCAAUAAUAAAAUGGUUAUUAUUAUAUUUCCUUGUUCAUGAUAAUUGUCUAUUGUUCAUGCUAUAAUUGUGUUAUCCAGAAAUCGUAAUACAUGUGUGAAUACAUAGACCACAACGUGUCCCUAGUAAGCCUCUAGUUGACUAGCUCGUUGAUCAACAGAUAGUCAUGGUUUCCUGACUAUGGACAUUGGAUGUCAUUGAUAACGGGAUCACAUCAUUAGGAGAAUGAUGUGAUGGACAAGACCCAAUCCUAAGCAUAGCACAAAGAUCGUGUAGUUCGUUUGCUAGAGCUUUUCCAAUGUCAAGUAUCAUUUCCUUAGACCAUGAGAUCGUGUAACUCCCGGAUGCCGUAGGAGUGCUUUGGGUGUACCAAACGUCACAACGUAACUGGGUGACUAUAAAGGUACACUGCAGGUAUCUCUGAAAGUUUCUCUUGGGUUGACACGGAUCGAGACUGGGAUUUGUCACUCUGUAUGACGGAGAGGUAUCUCUGGGCCCACUCAGUAAUGCAUCAUCAUAAUGAGCUCAAUGUGACCAAGUGUUUGGUCACAGGAUCAUGCAUUACGGUACGAGUAAAGUUACUUGCCGGUAACGAGAUUGAACGAGGUAUUGGGAUACCGACGAUCGAAUCUCGGGCAAGUAACAUACCGGUUGACAAAGGGAAUUGUAUACGGGAUUGAUUGAAUCCUCGACAUCGUGGUUCAUCCGAUGAGAUCAUCGAGGAACAUGUGGGAGCCAACAUGGGUAUCCAGAUCCCGCUGUUGGCUAUUGACCGGAGAGUCGUCUCGGUCAUGUCUGCAUGUCUCCCGAACCCGUAGGGUCUACACACUUAAGGUUCGGUGACGCUAGGGUUGUAGAGAUAUUAGUAUGCGGUAACCCGAAAAUUAUUCAGAGUCCCGGAUGAGAUCCCGGACGUCACGAGGAGUUCCGGAAUGGUCUGGAGGUGAAGAAUUAUAUAUAGGAAGUCCAGUUUCGGCCACCGGGAAAGUUUCGGGGUUUACCGGUAUUGUACCGGGACCACCGGAAGGGUCCCGGGGGUCCACCGGGUGGGGCCACCUAUCCCGGAGGGCCCCAUGGGCUGAAGUGGGAGGGGAACCAGCCCCUGGUGGGCUGGUGCGCCCCCCCUUGGGCCUCCCCCUGCGCCUAGGGUUGGAAACCCUAGGGGUGGGGGCGCCCCCCACUUGGCUUGGGGGGAAGCCACCCCUUGGCCGCCGCCCCCCUUGGAGAUCUGAUCUCCCAGGGCUGGCGCCCCCCCAGGAGGCCUAUAUUGUUGGGGAACAUAGUAAUUUCAAAAAAUUUCUACGCACACGGAAGAUCAUGGUGAUGCAUAGCAACGAGAGGGGAGAGUGUUGUCCACGUACCCGCGUAGACCGAUAGCGGAAGCGUUUAACACAACGCGGUUGAUGUAGUCGUACGUCUUCACGAUCCGACUGAUCAAGUACCGAACGCACGGCACCUCCAAGUUCAGCACACGUUCAGCUCGAUGACGUCCCUCGAACUCCGAUCCAGCCGAGUGUUGAGGGAGAGUUUUGUCAGCACGACGGCGUGGUGACAAUGUUGAUGUUCUACCGACGCAGGGCUUCGCCUAAGCACCGCUACACAGCUAAGAGAUCAAUGAUCAAUUGUGUGUCUAUGGGGUGUCCCCCUGCCCCCAUAUAUAAAGGAGCAAGGGGGGAGGCGGCCGGCCUAGGAGGAGGGCGCGCCAAGGGGGGAGUCCUACUCCCAUCGGGAGUAGGACUCCUCCUUUCCUUGUUGGAGUAGGAAAAGGGAAGGGAGAAGGAGAAAGAAGGAAGGGGGCGCUCCCCCUCCCUAGUCCAAUUCGGACUAGUCCAUGGGGAGGGGUGCGGCCUCCCUUUGGGGUCUUUCUCUCCUUUCCCGUAUGGCCUAUUAAGGCCCAAUACGAAUUCCCGUAACUCUCCGUUACUCCGAAAAAUACCCGAAUCACUCGGAACCUUUCCGAAGUCCGAAUAUAGUCGUCCAAUAUAUCGAUCUUUACGUCUCGGACAUUUCGAGACUCCUCGUCAUAUCCCCGAUCUCAUCCGGGACUCCGAACUCCUUCGGUACAUCAAAAUACAUAAACUCAUAAUAAAACUGUCAUUGUAACGUUAAGCGUGCGGACCCUAUGGGUUCGAGAACUAUGUAGACAUGACCGAGACACCUCUCCGGUCAAUAACCAAUAGCGGAACCUGGAUGCUCAUAUUGGUUCUCACAUAUUCUAUGAAGAUCUUUAUCGGUCAGACCGCAUAACAACAUACGUUGUUCCCUUUGUCAUCAGUAUGUUACUUGCCCGAGAUUCGAUCGUCGGUAUCUCGAUACCUAGUUCAAUCUCGUUACCGGCAAGUCUCUUUACUCGUUCCGUAAUACAUCAUCCCGCAACUAACUCAUUAGUCACAAUGCUUGCAAGGCUUAUAGUGAUGUGUAUUACUGAGUGGGCCCAGAGAUACCUCUCCGACACUCGGAGUGACAAAUCCUAAUCUCGAAAUACGCAACCCAACAAGUACCUUUGGAGACACCUGUAGAGCACCUUUAUAAUCACCCAGUUACGUUGUGACAUUUGGUAGCACACAAAGUGUUCCUCCGGUAAACGGGAGUUGCAUAAUCUCGUAGUCAUAGGAACAUGUAUAAGUCAUGAAGAAAGCAAUAGCAACAUACUAAACGAUCGAGUGCUAAGCUAACGGAAUGGGUCAAGUCAAUCACAUCAUUCUCCUAAUGAUGUGAUCCCGUUAAUCAAAUGACAACUCAUGUCUAUGGCUAGGAAACAUAACCAUCUUUGAUCAACGAGCUAGUCAAGUAGAGGCAUACUAGUGACACUCUGUUUGUCUAUGUAUUCACACAAGUAUUAUGUUUUCGGUUAAUAAAAUUCUAGCAUGAAUAAUAAACAUUUAUCAUGAUAUAAGGAAAUAAAUAAUAACUUUAUUAUUGCCUCUAGGGCAUAUUUCCUUCAUAUAUAUAGGAGGGGGGAGGGAGGGCAGCCGCACCACAGCCCCUGGCGCCUCCCUCUGCCUCCCGUGACACAUCUCCCUCCUCCUGCAGCGCUCGGCGAAGCCCUGUCGGAAUCCCGCUACUUGCACCACCACGCCGUCGUGCUGCUGGAUCUCCAUCAACCUCUCCUCCCCCCUUGUUGGAUCAAGAAGGAGGAGACGUCGCUGCUCCGUACGUGUGUUGAACGCGGAGGUGCCGUCCGUUCGGCGCUCGGUCAUCGGUGAUUUGGAUCACGACGAGUACGACUCCAUCAACCCCGUUCACUUGAACGCUUCCGCUCGCGAUCUACAAGGGUAUGUAGAUGCACUCCUCUCUCUCGUUGCUAGAUGACUCCAUAGAUUGAUCUUGGUGAUGCGUAGAAAAUUUUAAAUUUCUGCUACGAUCCCCAACACGCCCCCACCCUCGUGGGCCCCUCGUUGCUCCCCUGAUCGACUUCUUUCGCCUAUAUAUGUCCAUAUACCCUAAAAACAU
Molecule: long non-coding RNA, 17138 nt
Filed under: Triticum aestivum (bread wheat)
Lineage: Eukaryota; Viridiplantae; Streptophyta; Magnoliopsida; Poales; Poaceae
Description: long non-coding RNA (TAES_LNC019738)
Source: RNAcentral